RNAcentral lists this ribosomal RNA (745 nucleotides) under Salmonella enterica. RNAcentral describes it as "partial 23S ribosomal RNA". It matches the Rfam family "Bacterial large subunit ribosomal RNA", at positions 2198 to 2925 of the family's 2925-position model. The record is from RNAcentral. Lineage: Bacteria; Pseudomonadati; Pseudomonadota; Gammaproteobacteria; Enterobacterales; Enterobacteriaceae.
UACCACCCUUUAAUGUUUGAUGUUCUAACGUGGACCCGUGAUCCGGGUUGCGGACAGUGUCUGGUGGGUAGUUUGACUGGGGCGGUCUCCUCCUAAAGAGUAACGGAGGAGCACGAAGGUUGGCUAAUCCUGGUCGGACAUCAGGAGGUUAGUGCAAUGGCAUAAGCCAGCUUGACUGCGAGCGUGACGGCGCGAGCAGGUGCGAAAGCAGGUCAUAGUGAUCCGGUGGUUCUGAAUGGAAGGGCCAUCGCUCAACGGAUAAAAGGUACUCCGGGGAUAACAGGCUGAUACCGCCCAAGAGUUCAUAUCGACGGCGGUGUUUGGCACCUCGAUGUCGGCUCAUCACAUCCUGGGGCUGAAGUAGGUCCCAAGGGUAUGGCUGUUCGCCAUUUAAAGUGGUACGCGAGCUGGGUUUAGAACGUCGUGAGACAGUUCGGUCCCUAUCUGCCGUGGGCGCUGGAGAACUGGGGGGGGCUGCUCCUAGUACGAGAGGACCGGAGUGGACGCAUCACUGGUGUUCGGGUUGUCAUGCCAAUGGCACUGCCCGGUAGCUAAAUGCGGAAGAGAUAAGUGCUGAAAGCAUCUAAGCACGAAACUUGCCCCGAGAUGAGUUCUCCCUGAGACUUAGAGUCUCCUGAAGGAACGUUGAAGACGACGACGUUGAUAGGCCGGGUGUGUAAGCGCAGCGAUGCGUUGAGCUAACCGGUACUAAUGAACCGUGAGGCUUAACCUUACAACGCCGAAG